This 835-nucleotide long non-coding RNA is filed under the name Capsicum annuum. Its description in RNAcentral is "long non-coding RNA (CANN_LNC017981)". Lineage: Eukaryota; Viridiplantae; Streptophyta; Magnoliopsida; Solanales; Solanaceae. The record is from RNAcentral.
UCAGGAUUUGAUGUAUUUGUCUUUUAGUGUGAAACUAGGGCAAAUUUCCCCUAUAAAUAAAAGAGUUUCCUUCAUUGUAAAUCAUCCCUCAAGAGAAGAAAUAACAAUUACUCUCUUAACUUUUUUGUCUGAUUUUUUUAAAGCAAUUGAGAGCCUAACAUUCAACCCUUUACCAAUUCAAACAAAUCAAAAACUUCAAACCUAAACCCUUCUUACCCAAAUUCAUAACCUCUAAAAACAAAGAAUUUAAUUUCAAAUUCAUACCCAAUAACUAAAUAUCCAAUUUUCAUGGAGAAGAGUAAUCCGAUUAACGAGAAGGAAGAAGAAAAUGUAGUGUGAUAAUAAGUUGCACACUGCUACUACCGCAUCUAAUUUGCUAUUCUAGUCAUCUGUCCAAGUUACUAUUACUCACAAUUCUUCUUUGAUAAUAUAAAAAGAGAGAGGUUGCUUUAAGUUGUUGUAUUGUCAUGGAAAGAAAUGCAAGUACGGGGGAAAAUGGCUUGGGGGAAAUAUUUUAGAAUGAAGAUGAAGUAACUCACACAAUUCUUCUUUGAUAAUAUAAAAAGAGAGGCUGUUUUAAGUUGUUGUAUUACCAUGGAAAGAAAUGCAGGUAAUGAUGAAAAUGGCUUGGGGGAAAUAUUUUAGAACGAAGAUGAAGAUGCACUACUAUGGAAAAUGGCUUGGGGUGAAUAUUUUAGUAGGAAUUUGAGGGGAGAUUUUGUCAUUUAAUAAGUUAAUACGUGUAUUAAAAUUUUUUGUAUUACUAAUACAUAGAAUAUUGGUGGUAUUAGUAAUACAUUAUUUAAUACACAAUAUGAUGUGUAACAAAUACAAG